RNAcentral lists this unclassified non-coding RNA (212 nucleotides) under Hevea brasiliensis (rubber tree). Lineage: Eukaryota; Viridiplantae; Streptophyta; Magnoliopsida; Malpighiales; Euphorbiaceae. The record is from RNAcentral.
CGACUUUGUUGCAGACCUUCAAUUUCUGGUUUCAAGAAUAAAAGAGAUUUGUUGGGCUUAGAAUUGGCAGCUUAUCAAUCAAGUAAGACAAUGGGGAAAUGGUUAAGUGGAGUGAAGAAGUUCAUUCCCUUUGAGGGAUAUGUUAAGUCUGUGAAAACGGCAGCACGAAUAUCAUUUCCAAAGAUCUCAGCAGACUGUCAAGAUAAAGAGCC